CUCAAUUCUUCUCCAAAUUUGUCGAGUAAGGCACCCGGGACCAGGCAGGCCCGCAAGAGAGACCUUCAGGAGGUCUAGCUAGCUCGGACCAGGAGCUCUAGCGUGCACAGGAAAUCCACCACCGGGCCAUCUCGCCUUCCUCGCUUCAUUGUUACAAAAGUGUUGGUUGGUAAAAAGGUUCAU
Prunus persica (peach) is the source of this 183-nucleotide long non-coding RNA. RefSeq lists it as uncharacterized. The record is from RefSeq and is a predicted model, not a curated record. The transcript has 3 exons. Lineage: Eukaryota; Viridiplantae; Streptophyta; Magnoliopsida; Rosales; Rosaceae.